This 780-nucleotide ribosomal RNA is filed under the name Saccharomonospora viridis. Its description in RNAcentral is "bacterial SSU rRNA". It matches the Rfam family "Bacterial small subunit ribosomal RNA", at positions 66 to 858 of the family's 1533-position model. The record is from RNAcentral. Lineage: Bacteria; Bacillati; Actinomycetota; Actinomycetes; Pseudonocardiales; Pseudonocardiaceae.
ACGCUGAGCCGUCUUCGGGCGGUGGAUGAGUGGCGAACGGGUGAGUAACACGUGGGUAAUCUGCCCUGUACUCUGGGAUAAGCCUGGGAAACUGGGUCUAAUACCGGAUAGGACACGCUACCGCAUGGUGGUGUGUGGAAAGCUUCGGCGGUACAGGAUGAGCCCGCGGCCUAUCAGCUAGUUGGUGGGGUGAUGGCCUACCAAGGCGACGACGGGUAGCCGGCCUGAGAGGGUGACCGGCCACACUGGGACUGAGACACGGCCCAGACUCCUACGGGAGGCAGCAGUGGGGAAUAUUGCACAAUGGGCGGAAGCCUGAUGCAGCGACGCCGCGUGGGGGAUGACGGCCUUCGGGUUGUAAACCCCUUUCGCCCGGGACGAAGCGAGAGUGACGGUACCGGGAGAAGAAGCACCGGCCAACUACGUGCCAGCAGCCGCGGUAAUACGUAGGGUGCAAGCGUUGUCCGGAAUUAUUGGGCGUAAAGAGCUCGUAGGCGGUGUGUCGCGUCUGCCGUGAAAACCUGCGGCUUAACCGUGGGCGUGCGGUGGAUACGGGCACACUUGAGUUCGGUAGGGGAGACUGGAAUUCCUGGUGUAGCGGUGGAAUGCGCAGAUAUCAGGAGGAACACCAGUGGCGAAGGCGGGUCUCUGGGCCGAAACUGACGCUGAGGAGCGAAAGCGUGGGGAGCGAACAGGAUUAGAUACCCUGGUAGUCCACGCCGUAAACGGUGGGCGCUAGGUGUGGGAUGCUGUUCACGUGUCCCGUGCCGUAGCUAACGC